Molecule: long non-coding RNA, 3115 nt
Organism: Marmota monax (woodchuck)
Lineage: Eukaryota; Metazoa; Chordata; Mammalia; Rodentia; Sciuridae
Exons: 2
Source: RefSeq, a predicted model, not a curated record
ACACGCUGCCGUCACCUGGGGAAGUGGCUUUGCUCGGGGGACCUGGCGGAGGCCCCAGGGCUCACGGCAAACCAGGGCCUCUGUGUGGGUGGCUCCCUGUCCGCACCCGGCGCCCAGCCUGCCCCUCCUCCACCCUCCACCGGUCUGGGGAGCCCUGGCUGCUAUGGGCAUGCUGCCACCCAGGGGCCCGGUGCCCUGGCACUGCUGAGGUGGAGUAGUCAGACAGACGCAACAGAGACAGACAGAAGGCCCAGAAGAAGCAGAGACUUCUCAGGAAAGGCAGCACAGGGCCGAGACAGGGCGUCCCUGCCACUGAGCGUCCAGGACCUGCAGCAAGAGCCCACCUUUGUGGUCCUGUAUUCCAGGGCUGGAAGCAGAAACAUCUUAGUGACCUUGGAUCGUGAGCUCUGCGCAGAGGCCAACAGCUGGGUGAAGAGGAAGGGGGUGGAGCUGCGUUCCACACAGGAACCAGUGCCAAGGUCCUGGGGCAGAGCAAAUGGGGGUGGGGGUCACGGUGGACGCUGGCUCUACGGGCUCCUUCCCUGCCAGCAGACUUGUCCACAUACCCAAGACUUCACAGCCUGCCAUGAGUCGGGGUCACAGGUUCAAAUCCCCUGAGCAACCAGACGGCAGCCUCCAGAAAGACACCUCCACCUGCCCCAGGCCACACCACCAGCUGGCCUCUGGUGCAAGUUCUGGGCAGUGAGAGGAAGGAUUCCAGGAAAAUUCUAGAAGGAAGAGGAGGGAGGGCAGCAGGGCCAGGAGGGGUGCACAUGACUCUCAAGACUGCAGCAGACACCGGAGGCGGCACUUUGGAGCCCCGCGCCUGGGAAGGGCGCCAGGCUGGGAGCUGGACCCCUGGGACCGGCCAGCACCACGCCCCUGGACCCACCUGAGACCACCAGGAAAACCAUAGGCGGUCCAGCUGUGGCUGCCCUGGAGCCCGAACACUUCUGUGCAAGGCUGCGGUGACGUUAGGUUAAGGACCCCAGAAUGCCUGAGGCCCUCCCAGGAGGCACCUCAAGUUUGUCCCACGGAGUUUUCCUGUCAAGAGCAGGAAGGUCCUAGCUGCAGCACUCACCGAGGGCCUGUCCUCAACAGCAAGGAAACCAGCACCGGAGGUCUCCAGCCCCAGAGGGCGGCCCCGAGGACGCGCUGCAUCUAUCUGACGCCCGAGACUGGGGACGGUCAGACGGUGUCAACCCCACACCCUCAGGAACCAGGACCAAGUGCCAGGACUGCGGUCAUGAGAGAGUGCCGGCUGGGGACAGGGUUGACAAAGUAACUUAUCAGGAAGAGCCCCGGUGGAGUUCCAGUGCGUCCCACUGUUUGGACAUUUUCACUCCGACUCCACUCACAUCGUGUGGAGUUAUUUGUAGGUAGAGUCUUUCAGGACCCUCGACCACAAGGGCAAAGGACGGGUCAGCCCUUUGGAGUGGGAGCCCUGGAACCAGGUCAGGGUGACUGCCAAGCGGAGCCCCAGGGUCAGCAUCCUGGCAGAGCUGGUCCCCCCACCUCGACGGCUUCCCCGUGAAACCGGGUUAAUCGGCGCAGCCCACAUCAGAGGCAGCGGGCCUCACCGAGAGGACUCGAGACAAGGCUCGGCCGGGCAGCGACACACUGAAGGAUAAUAGCCGCCAGGCGGCUUAGUAAUGGUCUCCAUUAACCAAACGUCCACUCCCCCAGCCCAGGACCACGGACCUUCCACCCACACUCUGGGACCUGGGUUCGAAGCCAGCCCUGGGCUCGGCUGUGAGCUCUGCGGCAAGACUUCCUCCUCCCUUCAGAGCCUCGGUUUAGUCAUUUAUAAAACAGAAAAUGAUGGCUAUUACCAAAAGGCACCCCUGACUGCUGGAGGACAGGCGGCUCCCUGAAAAAUCACCACCAACACCGACUGUAUGACCCGGCCGUGCCGGGGGACACCAAGACCUGCAAGCGGCCUCCCCAGCCAGGGCACGGGGGCAGCGCUCGCAGGGGCGCUCACGGCGCCCAGGAGGUUGCAGCAGCCCAAGUGUCCCCCCCGGGAACGAGCAGACAGGCGUGGCCUCGCCACACAGUGGGAUGUCACCCAGCCAUGAGGACCUCUGACCUCGCGGCAGCGUGGAUAUCCCCUGAGGAUGCUCGCGGAGAGAAGCCAGGACACAGAUCUUGCUGGACGAGUCCCUCACAGGGAUGUCCAGAACAGAGAAACCACGACGCAGAAAGUAAAUUAAGGGGGCUGGGGUGGGGAGGGGGCAGGAAGAACCACCUCAUGGGUAGGGGGCCUCCCUGGGGGUCAGUGGAAAUGUUCUAGAACUAGACAGAGCCGUGGUGACGAUAUUGCUGAAGUCCUAAAUGCUACUGAUUUGUACACUAAAAUGGUCAACGACACGUGACGUGAGUUCUUCCUGAUGCACACAAGGCUUCAGAAAGGCGCCUCUGCACCGUGAGCAGACCUGCUCCCCUCGAGAUGGGCUACGUCCAGCACAAGUUUAACCUGGUGCGGUCCCCCUCGAUGGGCACCUGGGACACCCCACACUUCCCUGGGUGUUCUCAGCACCCUCCAAUCAGGGGAGCGACAGCCAGCCUUCCCCUGGAUGCACACGCACCUGCCGCCCCCAGCACCCCCACAGAGCAGCGUCCCAGGGAGGCCGCGUCUGGCCCCUCCCACCGCGGGGGGAGCCGAGGUCCGUUUACAGGCCCUGCCCAGCAGCACCGGAGUCUGAAAACUCAAGUCCAGCAAUCCCAUCUGAACUGCUAUAAGCGUGUCCGAUAUUUAUAUAUAGAACCCGAAGCAGAUGUGGGGCUUCCAGCCGAUCGCCUGUUUUACACUGUUUACACGGACACACCAGACAAGGCCCCAUUCGAGGUAAUCCGUGCUCUGCUACAGGCCAAAAUCAGCAGUACUCUCAGCACAGGCCUUAUUUAUAUCCACCAAGCGUUACACCGGGCCCCAGUGGAUCACUGGAGGGAGCUACACGUUUGUCAGGAAUGAUCUUUCAUCUGGCGCCAACCCUACGGGAGAGACCACGAAAUAGAAGAAAUCAGAGGUGCACGUGUGGUCAGGUGGGACCCACACUCAGCAAGGAGCAAAGGUGCAAAUGGUCUGCCAGGAAUAAAGUUGGGGCUUCUUGAA